AACUUUUACGAGGGAUCAGCACUUUUCUUUCGCUGGUGGGGAAGGCAGGAUGAGAAAUACAAAGCAGGAGUAGACUUUUAAAGUUUAAAUAGACAGGUCCGAGCGCCUGAGCGUGCUCCUCCGUUUUAACCCUCCAGAGAAGUACCCCGAGCCAGUCGCACUGCUCAUCAGCAGCGGUAAGUUGGAAGU
This is a non-coding RNA of Colinus virginianus (northern bobwhite), 189 nucleotides long. NCBI's taxonomy places the organism in Eukaryota, Metazoa, Chordata, Aves, Galliformes, Odontophoridae. The record is from Rfam.